Molecule: long non-coding RNA, 788 nt
Filed under: Gallus gallus (chicken)
Lineage: Eukaryota; Metazoa; Chordata; Aves; Galliformes; Phasianidae
Description: long non-coding RNA NONGGAT002053
Source: RNAcentral
CUCAAGUGUCACUUUGUGGCAUGAUUAGUUCUUCCUAAUUGGCCUUGUGCUUCAUUUGUUUUGUGUCUUCAGACCGUCCUUUAGGAUGGACAACUGGCAGACGUGGCACAGUGCAAACUGCCUUAUGGUGUCCCAUCAGGUCAGACAGGCUCCUGUUCUCAGCAGCAGUUUCUCUGCCAAAUGCCAUCGUAUCGCAUCUAAGCUGUUUAGUGUGUGUGAUGCUGUACUCUGGGGGCACUGAGAGGUUCUCUGCCCAAUCCAAGCCUAAACAUGGAGUGGUGGCACUGCCUCUGUGCGGGUAAAGACACACACUGGAAGCUGUCAGCUGCUCUGUUCUGCUUUACUCUGUGUCUCCUGCUGCAUAGGGUGCAUCUGUGUAUGGCAAAGUGGGCAUGCCUUGUUAAGAAAUCUAUAUGGAAUUUGUGUAGCUGCUAUUGCUGAACAUAACUAGCACUUCUGUAGCAUCCUUGCCUGAUGCUACAAAUCUAAGGCCACAAGUUUCAAUUAAGCCACUGAUAAAUAACUGCCAUAGACCUGUGAGACGAGAAGUGCACAGGCUAGCUGCUGCUGCUUUCUGAGGUGGAGACUCAGAAUCAAACCCAAGUCCCAGCGCUGCUUGCUGGGUGACCCAGAUGUAAACUCAGUGCAUUGCCAGCACUACAGGAAUCAGGUGCUUGCAGGGUACGGGAUAGUUUUGUUGUGCCAUUGUACUGAUGCCAAGUUUCCACUGGCUUUAAAUGUCUGAUGGCUGACAUUCAUUCUUACAAACACUUCUCUGAUAGAGAAAC